RNAcentral lists this ribosomal RNA (497 nucleotides) under uncultured bacterium. Its description in RNAcentral is "bacterial SSU rRNA". It matches the Rfam family "Bacterial small subunit ribosomal RNA", at positions 28 to 507 of the family's 1533-position model. The record is from RNAcentral.
GAUGAACGCUGGCGGCGUGCCUAAUACAUGCAAGUCGAACGCGCAGCGAAAGGUGCUUGCACCUUUCAAGCGAGUGGCGAACGGGUGAGUAACACGUGGAUAACCUGCCUCAAGGCUGGGGAUAACAUUUGGAAACAGAUGCUAAUACCGAAUAAAACUUAGUAUCGCAUGAUACAAAGUUAAAAGGCGCUACGGCGUCACCUAAAGAUGGAUCCGCGGUGCAUUAGUUAGUUGGUGGGGUAAAGGCUUACCAAGACAAUGAUGCAUAGCCAAGUUGAGAGACUGAUCGGCCACAUUGGGACUGAGACACGGCCCAAACUCCUACGGGAGGCUGCAGUAGGGAAUCUUCCACAAUGGGCGCAAGCCUGAUGGAGCACCGCCGCGUGUGUGAUGAAGGCUUUCGGGUCGUAAAGCACUGUUGUAUGGAAAGAAAUGCUAAAAUAGGGAAUGAUUUUAGUUUGACGGUACCAUACCAAAAAGGGACGGCUAAAUACGUG